RNA transcript from Cannabis sativa, 2588 nucleotides. It is a transcript of the gene named probable helicase MAGATAMA 3, with no coding region annotated. The record is from RefSeq and is a predicted model, not a curated record. NCBI's taxonomy places the organism in Eukaryota, Viridiplantae, Streptophyta, Magnoliopsida, Rosales, Cannabaceae. The transcript has 5 exons.
ACUUAAAAAAUAAAAGAAUAUUCUGUUAACUUUAACGGAGAAGAACCAAAAUAUUCUGUUAAUUUAACGGAGAAGAACCAAAAUACAUUUUGCGAUUCCUCUUUCUUCUUUAACAAAACGCUAUUGCGAUUUGAGAGAAAGUUAGAUCAAUCGAAAAUGUGAGGAAGAGGAAAAAGAGGAAAGGGUUUGGGAAAGGGAGGACCCAAGAGGCAUCGCAAGGUUCUCAGGGACAACAUCCAGGGCAUCACCAAGCCCGCGAUUCGCCGUUUGGCCAGACGUGGCGGAGUUAAGCGUAUCAGCAGUCUCAUCUACGAGGAGACUCGCGGUGUACUCAAGAUCUUUCUCGAGAACGUUAUCCGUGACGCCGUUACUUACACUGAGCACGCUCGGCGGAAGACCGUCACCACCAUGGACGUCGUCUAUGCUUUGAAGAGACAAGGCCGUACUCUAUACAGAUUCGGAGGUUGAUGAGUGUGAGUCAGUCUAUGCUUUAAUCUUUUUAGGGUUUAUAAUUAUUGUUUUUGAGAUUUGCAAUUGGGAUUAAGCUUUUGGAAAUGCUCAGAUUUCAUUCUUGAGUUCUUUUACAUUGAAUAUGAAAUGCCUAUAUGAAAUGUCCAUAUAUAUGAAAAUAAUCCGUAUCAGAAAAUAAUCAUGGGGUUUUGGUUUUGAACAACUUUUAUGUCAUAACUAUUAUAUGGGUUUUGGUUUUGCUUCAUUAUUUAUAUAUUUGGGAGUAGAGUAUUUGAAAACUGAAAUUGGAUUCUUGGUCCUUAUCCAAACAUGAAUCUGUCCAAAUUUGUUAAGGACCUCUCGCCGUGCCAAUGAUUUACAGUGAGUUUGUUGUUUGAAUUUUAUUCCUUUUCUAUUGUUAAUUGAACUUUUAUUGCCAUUGAAUUACAAUAUACGAAGUUUUUCAAUUGUGGCUAUGGCAACUUUGUGGGUUUUGUUUAAUUUGGUGAAGUUCUCAAAAUCUCUGGUUCUAAAUAGGUAAAUUUCACACAAAGACUUUCAGGCAGUCUUGCAAUUUCAUCGCUCACACCAGCUUGUUGAGAUUAUUGACAUUCUUGUUGAGAUUUGCUACUGUGUUUUGAGUUGGAUUGGAGAUAUUUUAUUUAAUGGGCUUUAUUGAUUAUAAUCGGUAGAUAUUAGAUAAUGAACUGUGUAUUGCUUUAUUGGUUAUUGUUUAUUAGAUUUUUACGGAUUUUAUGCCAAUGGCGUUUAAAUUUGUUAUGAUACAAGGGAGAUUCAAAGUUAUGAUACAAGGGAGAUUCAAGAUUUUUGCUUGGCAAAUGCAUGUCUGAUUUUCUGUACUGUCUCAAGCUCAGCUAAACUACACAAGACAGAAAUGGUUCCUUUUGAAGUAUUGAUUAUAGAUGAGGCUGCUCAGUUGAAAGAAUGUGAAUCAACAAUUCCUUUACAACUUCUUGGAACUCGUCAUGCUAUACUUAUAGGCAAUGAGAGGCAAUUACCAGCAAUGGUUAAAAGCCAGGUUUCAGCAAAAGCCAAUUUCGGAAGAAGUUUGUUUGAGAGAUUGGCUUUGCUUGGCCAUAAGAAACACCUUCUCAAUGUCCAGCACAGGAUGCACCUUUUAAUCAGUUCUUUUCCAAAUAAGCAGUUUUAUAACAAUGAGAUUUUUGAUGGUCAGAAUGUUAAAGAGAGGAGUUACAGCCAAUGUUUUCUGCAAGGAAAGAUGUAUGGCUCUUACUCUUUCAUAAAUGUGCCAUAUGAAAAAGAGACUGUUGAUAACAAGCAUAGUAGCAAGAACAAAAUUGAGGCUUUUGUUGUCUCUGAGAUAGUUGCAAAGCUUUAUGAAGGUGUGUAAUAAUUGAUGCAUACUCUUAUUUUCUUUCUUUCUUGACGUCGUCUACUCUGCACUCAGCUAGAGGUAACAACGUGGAUUAAGCAUUGAUAUUUUUAAUCUCCAUGCUCUGAUUUUUUUAGUGAUGUUUCUUUGAGUUACACUAAUGGUAUUGUUGUAGUUUGAAUUUGAAGUUGCAUAAUGAGAUUCUUUUAAUGUGAAAUUGGCAGACUAUAGUAAUAGGGGUAACAUUCUUGGCUUUUGAUACCUAUGAUUCGCCGCCACAUAGGCCAUUGAUGAAAAGAUAAGAGAACUUUCAAAUGUUACAUUGCGUAGCAGGGAAUGACUUUCAAAAGUUUUUAAAAAAACUUCUCACUGAGGAUUUCCCACGACUAUUUGUACGACCAAGAUUGUUUUAGAUUUCCAAAAAGGUAAAGCAGUUGGCCCAGAUGCAAAUAAUUCAAAAUCUAAAGAGAUAGAAGGAACAAAACCAGGAGAGCAAGAAGGAAACAAGGAUUUUGUUGGAAAGCUUAUGCAAACAGGGCUAUGGCGUAUCUGAAGGUCAAAAGGCAAGUUUAUGUCAAGCACUGCUGUAUUGUUUGGCGCAGUUAGAUUAUUAAAAGAUAUUUGAACCAAAUGCUGUAUAAGUAUUUUAAUGCUGUAUAACCCAAUGACGUUUACAAUUUUGUGACCUCGCCAGUUAACUUUGUCGUUCCUCUUCCUCAGUCAUCUCUCAACUGACCCAGUGGAGGAGCAUUGUUUAUAAAAUAAUCUACAAUUAGUUACUGAA